This is a non-coding RNA of Paramuricea clavata, 625 nucleotides long. The record is from the annotation of a GenBank genome assembly. Lineage: Eukaryota; Metazoa; Cnidaria; Anthozoa; Malacalcyonacea; Plexauridae.
CUGACCAAUCUCAUGCAAAUGCUCAAAUUACUUUGCAAAUUUUUCUUUGUUGAUUCCACAAUAGUUUUUCUUUUCUAUACGAGUUGUUCACUUGUCCAAUGCAUGACUGUUGGGUCUCAUUUCGAUUAUCACCGAAUUGGUCAGUUUCAGAUAAAGCCACUUGGGAUAGCUUUAAUCAGGGCCUUUCCUAGACGCGAUUAUUGGGGGAGUGUAUAUUCAUAUAUUCCUGUUCACAUACCGUAAAAACAAUCGCUUUCGGAAAGAAACCGUCGUGCAGAACGAAUAUAUCAAUACACCCCCCCCCCCCAAUUAUCGCGCUAGGCUUAAUGGCUUUAAUGUUUAUAUCCAACUCAUUUAUACCUUUUUUCAAACAUUUUCUGUUAGAUCUCGUAGUCAGAUAGCCAUGAUUUGAUUAUGUAGUUUAACAGACCUCGUUAGACAGUGUGAAACUAAAUUUUUCUUCCAUGUAUUCAAGUAUAAAUUUCAUAAGGAGCACUUUAAUUUAUGCAUAACCCCAAACGAAUCGUACGUGUGCAGGGGCAAGCUUUUCGCCAAAGCUGCACGUAGGAUCGUGCUAUGACGUAAGCUAAUCUUCCAAUGAGAAGUUUUGCAAAAUUUGGACCGG